This 427-nucleotide ribosomal RNA is filed under the name uncultured bacterium. RNAcentral describes it as "bacterial SSU rRNA". It matches the Rfam family "Bacterial small subunit ribosomal RNA", at positions 356 to 775 of the family's 1533-position model. The record is from RNAcentral.
GGGGAAUAUUGGACAAUGGGGGCAACCCUGAUCCAGCCAUGCCGCGUGUGUGAAGAAGGCCUUCGGGUUGUAAAGCACUUUCAGUGAGGAAGAAGGCCUGCGGGUCAAUAACCGGCAGGAAGGACAUCACUCACAGAAGAAGCACCGGCUAACUCCGUGCCAGCAGCCGCGGUAAUACGGAGGGUGCGAGCGUUAAUCGGAAUUACUGGGCGUAAAGCGCGCGUAGGUGGCUUGAUAAGCCGGUUGUGAAAGCCCCGGGCUCAACCUGGGAACGGCAUCCGGAACUGUCAGGCUAGAGUGCAGGAGAGGAAGGUAGAAUUCCCGGUGUAGCGGUGAAAUGCGUAGAGAUCGGGAGGAAUACCAGUGGCGAAGGCGGCCUUCUGGACUGACACUGACACUGAGGUGCGAAAGCGUGGGUAGCAAACAG